RNAcentral lists this transfer RNA (73 nucleotides) under Emiliania huxleyi. Its description in RNAcentral is "tRNA-Ala". It matches the Rfam family "tRNA". From Rfam's summary of the family: Transfer RNA (tRNA) molecules are approximately 80 nucleotides in length. The record is from RNAcentral. RNAcentral also lists the same sequence under 4 other names. Lineage: Eukaryota; Haptophyta; Isochrysidales; Noelaerhabdaceae.
GGGGGUAUAGCUCAAUUGGUUGAGCGUUUGUUUUGCAAAUAAAAGGUUAUUGGUUCGAGUCCAAUUAUCUCCA